AUUGAACGCUGGCGGCAUGCUUUACACAUGCAAGUCGAACGGUAACAGCACUUCGGUGGCUGACGAGUGGCGCACGGGUGAGUAAUACAUCGGAACGUGCCUAGUAGUGGGGGAUAACUACUCGAAAGAGUAGCUAAUACCGCAUGAGAUCUAAGGAUGAAAGCAGGGGACCUGCGGGCAUUGCGCUACUAGAGCGGCUGAUGGCAUAUUAGGUAGUCUGUGGGAGAAAAGCAUACCAAGCCGACGAUCUGGAGCGGGUCUGAGAGGACGACCAGCCACACUAGGACUGAGACACCGCCCAUACUCCUACGGGAGGCACCAGUGUGGUAUUUUGGACAAUGGGCGCAAGCCUGAUCCAACAAUGCCGCGUGCAGUAUGACGGCCUUCGGUUUGUAAACUGCUCUUUUGCGUAACGAAAAGCCCUCUCCUAUUACAGGGGGUUCAUGACGGUACCGUAAGAAUAAGCACCGGCUAACUACGUG
Molecule: ribosomal RNA, 482 nt
Filed under: uncultured bacterium
Lineage: Bacteria
Description: partial 16S ribosomal RNA
Rfam family: Bacterial small subunit ribosomal RNA
Source: RNAcentral